RNAcentral lists this unclassified non-coding RNA (364 nucleotides) under Hevea brasiliensis (rubber tree). Lineage: Eukaryota; Viridiplantae; Streptophyta; Magnoliopsida; Malpighiales; Euphorbiaceae. The record is from RNAcentral.
GAAUCAAAACUCUCUUCUGUUUCUGGAUUUUGUCUUCGGCGGGCUGUUUGAUCUUUGUUUCAUCGAAUCAGAAAUCUGUCGUUGGAUAGGUUAAUAAGAAAUUCAAGUCAGAAUAUGAGCUUUCCUGCACAAAACAAUAGAAGGAAUAACAACAGUAAUCGGCCUAGAAACAAUAAUAAUAAUCCUGUUGUUCAAAGUGGUGGUGCUCGUCGUGAGUGGGUAGCUAGGGGAUCUGCUCCAACCAACACUGUUCCAUUUUCAGCUGCCCCUGUUACCCCGGUAACAACAACCACUGUUGUGACCCCUGUGUUUGGUGGGAAUGGAAGAGACAAUGAGAAUGUGUCAUCUGCACCGUUUAAUCGAU